This is a long non-coding RNA of Rhagoletis zephyria (snowberry fruit fly), 232 nucleotides long. RefSeq lists it as uncharacterized. NCBI's taxonomy places the organism in Eukaryota, Metazoa, Arthropoda, Insecta, Diptera, Tephritidae. The record is from RefSeq and is a predicted model, not a curated record.
AUGUCAAACGUUAAGUUUCUUGUUUCUUGUUUGUUUGUAACUAUUUAUAUGCAAAAUUUGAUAUGAAAAAUAGUACCAAAUUUCGUACUACUUCGCAAUGCGGGCUUUUUUUCUUCCCGUUUCUCUCGUGCUUCCAUAUUACAACCUUUUGUAAGGGAGCCGUCGACAUGAGCUGUCACUACGUACAACACCUUGUAUAAUUCCACCAUGCACGAAGCUAGCAAACCUUUUC